AUUGAACGCUGGCGGCAUGCCUUACACAUGCAAGUCGAACGGCAGCGCGGGGCAACCUGGCGGCGAGUGGCGAACGGGUGAGUAAUAUAUCGGAACGUACCCUGGAGUGGGGGAUAACGUAGCGAAAGUUACGCUAAUACCGCAUACGAUCUAAGGAUGAAAGCAGGGGACCGCAAGGCCUUGUGCUCCUGGAGCGGCCGAUAUCUGAUUAGCUAGUUGGUGGGGUAAAGGCCUACCAAGGCAUCGAUCAGUAGCUGGUCUGAGAGGACGACCAGCCACACUGGAACUGAGACACGGUCCAGACUCCUACGGGAGGCAGCAGUGGGGAAUUUUGGACAAUGGGCGCAAGCCUGAUCCAGCAAUGCCGCGUGAGUGAAGAAGGCCU
Molecule: ribosomal RNA, 385 nt
Filed under: uncultured bacterium
Lineage: Bacteria
Description: bacterial SSU rRNA
Rfam family: Bacterial small subunit ribosomal RNA
Source: RNAcentral